Molecule: unclassified non-coding RNA, 295 nt
Filed under: Hevea brasiliensis (rubber tree)
Lineage: Eukaryota; Viridiplantae; Streptophyta; Magnoliopsida; Malpighiales; Euphorbiaceae
Source: RNAcentral
GGACAAUACUUUCCGUGCGUCGAUGCUAUCGAUAUUUAGCUGUUAAAAUUAACCUGUGCAAUUUAAUCUAUCGUCCCGUUUUUGCUCGCUUUGGUACUGUGCUGUUGAAAGGGGAGGCGCCUGGACUCAUAUGUGGGCUCUCUUCUCGAAGAGUACCAUUCAACAUAGCUAGCUCCCUCAGUUGCUGCUUCUUGAAGAAAUCAUGGGAUUCGUCCACUGGCUUAAAAAGUUCUUCGAGUAUAGUCACCGCUUUCUUCAAUUGGUUGUCGAUAAUAUCUGCUGGAAACUCAGCCUC